Long non-coding RNA from Numida meleagris (helmeted guineafowl), 3002 nucleotides. RefSeq lists it as uncharacterized. The record is from RefSeq and is a predicted model, not a curated record. The transcript is spliced from 4 exons. Lineage: Eukaryota; Metazoa; Chordata; Aves; Galliformes; Numididae.
CGGAGGCAGUGUGUAUGUGUAAGGAGGGGACGGGAGGGGAGGGGGGAGCUGGCAGGCAGCCAGCUACCAUCAGAAUUAGCUCAUUGUUCAAUAUAACCAGCGCUGGCAACCAAAUCCCAGCCCGAGAGAGAGGGAGACUUUCCCCCAGCUACCCCCCACCCCUUUUUCUCCACGGCUGCACUUUGGAAGAGAUCAUGUAGAAAGGACAGAAAGUGAGCAGGGAGCGGGGGCUUUUGUCUAUUCUUGUGCUACCUGAGAGAAACUGCAAUCCCGAGACUUAACAGAAUCUAAAAAUGAUUUUCAAGAAAAUGGAGUAAAGAAUUGAAAAUAUGUUAUUUACAGGUUAUAACUUCUUAUAUGAGGUUGGCCUCAAUUUUUGCUCAGAAACUGUUUGUUGUUAUAGAACACUGCCUCAGACAUGUCCUGGAUGAGUGGGUUUCUUUUUCCCCAGCUCCUCAAAGUGAAAGUGAAGCAUUUUGUGUAUCACAUGUUCUGCCGGAAGGAUUUCUUCCAAGGCUAAUAAUGCCAUUAGUCAGAUAUUUAGGGGUGAUCCACUUUGACAAUUUAUGGUUGAACUUUACUAGCUUGGUAUUUCCCUAAUGAGUGAGGCUAUCAAUUUGAGUAAGCAUAGUGCUCUUUCGCUUCAUUUAGACUUGCAGAACUUCAAUUCUCAAUGUAUUUUAAAGUUCAGUAAUUCUUUUCUAAAUCCUGAUGUUAUUGCUAUUUAAGCCAAGCUUGUACUCUCAUAGUAGUCAUACAGGAAAUACUAAGAAAUGAAAGGAUGGUGUGUAUCAGUGAAAGCAUUUAUCUAGAAGUGUUUGCUUCAUGGUAAUGGCUGCAGUGCAGUAAGCCUUACAUCCUAUUUUGUAAUGAAGCAUUGAUUUGCACUUUUUCUCUCCCUGUAGAUCAUCUUUCAUCUUGCAGUUAAUAUCAGUUGUUUUGAGAUGUUGUCGUUGACUUGAUGUGCUUGCUGUGUUAUUUAUAGCAUCAGUAUAUUUGAACAUAAAAAAAGUUUCUGCAUGGCAAAAUACCAAGAUGUCUUUUUUUUUCAGCUCUUGUGGAUUAUACAAAUUCCUGAGUGGACUUUUCCAUGUGGGCAACUUUUUUCAUUCCAGAAACUUCUUCUACUUAGCCAGAGUCCAAACCGUGAUUCUCUGGCCUUUCAAUGUUUUUCAAAAGACAGCUGGUGAAAACCCUUUGUCAGCACAGUUCAGGACUUAGCAGCAUGUGGAGGAGGUCCAUGUGCUUUUUAUCUUACAAUGAUGGCCACAGUAGUUGCUUUUGAAAAACAUAUUAAGAGUAGGACAGUACUAAAAUAUCUCUUCUUGGAGGAAACUGAUGUGAAAGAUAGCUGGAGAUAGCUGGGGUAAACAUCGUAUGGUGUUUUUAUGUCCUUUUAUGUCAGGUGCUAUUUUAUUUCUAUUAAACUAGUACUAUAGAGUACAAGAGCUAUGGGCUAACGUGAAUCUGGUUCAUACUCAUUGGAAAAUACACAAAUUCAUCCUCAUCAUAAUGAAUAAUGUUUUUUCUUCCUUAUUCUUUCCUUCUGUCAGAAAAUACACAUUUUUGUGAACUUGCCCAUUUUAUGUGCAUGCCUUGCUGCUUCAUGUCAUGGGCUUUCACACAAUGAAUAUGACUACAUAAAUAAUAUAAAGGCAUAGGUGAGGGUUGCAUAGUCAGUGAUUAUAAAUAUCAACAGAAGAGAUCAGGGUUUGCUUGUUAUCUUUCAUUAGUGUCUUAGAGAAUUAAGGUGAACAUCAGCUGAUGAAUUCACAGAGCACUUUCUGUGUUAUCCUGUGUCAGCCGUAGUCGGGGAGCUUGACUGACUUUUUCGAGAUCAUGCAGUAGUCCCAAGUAUGAAAUAAAUCCUGAUGCUCUAAUCAGUAGGCAGCACUGCGUUUUGCACUGUGGAAAAUUGUAGACGAAUGUAGAAUAGCAGGCAUUGCCUUAGGCCAUGUGCUUCACAUUUCCCUCCUUCAUUUCCUACUAUAUAGAGUUCUGAAUUUUCUCUUCAAAAGAUGAUUUAAAUAAUCUUCAAAUAAUUUCUCCAAGCUAUGUCUAGUCCAGUUGUGGCAACUACUCAAAGUGCAACUCUCUAGAAAUGAAAACAUUUCUCGGGUUUCAAUACAAAUACAGUGGCAUACAGGUGAAUUAAUCCUGUCUGCCAGGAAUUUCAUGGACAACACAAAUUUUUAUUCCCAAAGUGUGAACAAGUUUGAAUGCUGUAAUUUAUAUGUUUGGCUUGAAACAGUUUUAUGUUCAAGCACCUUGCAGAAAGAGUUCUAUUCUUUAAACCAAAGGCCCAGCAGGCAGACCCAGCAGGGAAAGAAACUUAAGGUCUUCAGUGUUGCAUACAACUUGUAAUUGAUCGCUUUAGAGCUUAAGGAGAGUGAGAUGGAAAAGUGUUCUGUCUUCAUCCUGAAGAUGAGGAUCUGAGGCACAGGAAGUUUCCAGCUCAGACUCAUGGUAGUAGCUGAAGUGUAUUCGCUUGGCAUUUGCUCCAGCUGCCCACAGUAGAAAGCUGCCUACCUUGAAUCUCACCCAUUUUCUGGUAAGUUAACCUCUUAUUUGUGGAGAAGGCCUUGGAGAAGCAUGCUCUUCUCAGGCAGGAUAAAUCAGACCACUUCUCCUAUGGUUGUGUAUGAAGCUCUGCCACAGAGCAGUGGUAGGUUGGUACCUUAACCACUAAAUCCUGCUGACAGCUCAUUUAUCCUACAUAUUAUAGAAUAUGUUGGAGUUCCUUUAAAGUCUGAAAUAUUGGAUGGUAACACAAGAUUAUAGCAAUGCUCAAUGUACUUAAUGCUUAAUGUACUUAUUAAGUUCCAGUUCACAGUUCAGUAUGAAAGGAUUUUAUUAAGUUCCAGUUCACAGUUCAGUGUGAAAGGAUUAUCAAAGUUGUGUUCCCCUUGUCUCAUGUAGUUGUCAGCAAAGUUAAUCAUCUUCAUUAUCUUCAUUCAUUUUAAUUCAUCCCUCUCUUCCUAAAAUUGUAUGUAUUUGCAUUG